UCAUGUGCCACUCGGUAGGCGGGCCGUCCCCCGGUCAGAUGGCGUCGGCCGCCCGCGGCGAGUUCUUCGCUCGCGGUGUCGUAGCCGGCGUUCACUCGGCCGUCGGACGAGGUUACCCGCGCCGUGGCACCGCACUUCCUCCCUAGUACGUACGUCGCGACCCGUUGGGUGUCGGUCUGAAGGCCCGGGAUGGCAGCCCGGUGCUCCUAUUUCGCGCUUGGCGAAGGGGGCCCGGACUCUCGGCAUGCCCGGCCGACUGCCCGACGGCAUGACCGCAAGGGUCGAUCCGCUACUCUGAAAGCCCGUCGCUCGGUGGAGCGUCCGGGCCCCGGCGUCGGGCGGCUCGGGUCGAGGUGUCCAAGAAUUUUCUCGGCCCACGACCUCGAGUCUCGUCCGGCGUCGGCGUCCUCGGACGGGAUCGAGACCCGGUCUGCGACGCCUUUCUUCGGACGGUCUCCCGCCCC
This 464-nucleotide ribosomal RNA is filed under the name Oreophoetes topoense. RNAcentral describes it as "partial 28S ribosomal RNA". Lineage: Eukaryota; Metazoa; Arthropoda; Insecta; Phasmatodea; Diapheromeridae. The record is from RNAcentral.